This 69-nucleotide transfer RNA is filed under the name Arma custos. RNAcentral describes it as "tRNA-Asn". The record is from RNAcentral. Lineage: Eukaryota; Metazoa; Arthropoda; Insecta; Hemiptera; Pentatomidae. RNAcentral also lists the same sequence under 1 other name.
UUAAUUGAAGCCAAAAUAAGAGGCCUUUCAUUGUUAAUGAAAUUAUUGAUUAAAAUUAAUCCAAUUAAA